UACGGAGGGUGCAAGCGUUAUCCGGAUUCACUGGGUUUAAAGGGAGCGUAGGAGGGCAGGUAAGUCAGUGGUGAAAUCUUCGAGCUUAACUCGGAAACUGCCGUUGAUACUAUCUGUCUUGAAUACCGUGGAGAUGAGCGGAAUAUGUCAUGUAGCGGUGAAAUGCUUAGAUAUGACAUAGAACACCAAUUGCGAAGGCAGCUCGUUACACGAAUAUUGACUCUGAGGCUCGAAAGCGUGGGGAGCGAACAGG
This 253-nucleotide ribosomal RNA is filed under the name uncultured bacterium. RNAcentral's name for it is "partial 16S ribosomal RNA". It matches the Rfam family "Bacterial small subunit ribosomal RNA", at positions 524 to 776 of the family's 1533-position model. The record is from RNAcentral.